CUGCUGCCAAUGUCUCAGUCCCUGGAGAGGUGGUUCCAGCCUGGGGAGGUCUCACUUCUCACCAAGAUGCACCCAGAGCCUAUCAAGUGCGUCUUUUUCACCAAAGGACUGUGCACCUUUCUUUCUGAUUCCUGAAUCAAGAUUUUCUGUCAUAGAUUGGUUGAAGGGAGGUAAGAAGGAGAGGAGAGGGGUACAAGGAGCUGAGAUGUUGCUGAAGAGGAAGAUGGAGAAAGAGGGAAGGAUGAGCGAACCACGCCCUUCUUGUCCUGGGAGAGCAUCAGAGGCCUGCUGGGGACUGAUUGUAGGGUUGUGACAACGAUGCCAGCAUUCUUUGGAGAUGGCAGCGCCUCAUAAAGCUCUUAAAGAAGUGGAUUCAUAUGUCAGGGAGAAGGAAAGGGAAGAAGUCAGCAAUCACAGAAUCAAGAGAGCAACCCUGGGCACCAAGCCUUCAAAGUGAUGAUUAUCUUUCUAUAUUAAAGAUUUCAAAGAGUUCGAAA
This 497-nucleotide long non-coding RNA is filed under the name Equus asinus (donkey). RNAcentral describes it as "lncRNA (ENSEASG00005038311.1)". The record is from RNAcentral. Lineage: Eukaryota; Metazoa; Chordata; Mammalia; Perissodactyla; Equidae.